GGCUCGUUGGUCUAGGGGUAUGUUUCCUGCUUUGGGUGCAGGAGGUCCAGGGUUCAAAUCCCGGACGAGCCC
Schistocerca serialis cubense is the source of this 72-nucleotide non-coding RNA. NCBI's taxonomy places the organism in Eukaryota, Metazoa, Arthropoda, Insecta, Orthoptera, Acrididae. The record is from the annotation of a RefSeq genome assembly.